CACCGGCAGCCGCAGACUGUGUGCUCAGGAUAGGCGCAGGGGCGGCGGCAGUGGGUGAAGAAGAGCCCGCUCCGUGCCCGCUCCCCACCCGAGGCUGGGCCAGUGGUGCAGCCCCCUCUGCGCCGGGCGCGCUGCGAGCGCGGGAGCCGCUGGGAAGGGCGCCUCUGGUGGGAGGUGCGCGGUGCGGCCGGACGUGUGCCGGGGGCGCCGGGGCGACUUUCUCCCUCAGACGCACAUACAUCGGGGGGGUGGGAGUCUCGGCAGUCCCGAGACAAGUCUUGCUGUAACGCUGCCGCACGGGAUGGGCCGGCUGUUGCCAGUAGAUAACAGCGGAGCCCAGACCCCGCGCUGCGGCCUGGGCCGGCUCAGAGGAGCCCCCGGGCCCGGCGGGUGUCGGCGGCACCGAGGCGCGGGCAGUGUGAGGGCCUGCUUUCCCGCCAGCGGCCGUCGCUUAAGAAUCACAUCAAACCAUCUGCAAGUCACCUCCCUUGCCUUUCUGGACCAUCCACAGCAAAGCCUGGGAAGAAUUUCUGCCUGUGAUUCUCAGAGGUACCUAGUGAGUUCCCAGAGCUCAGUUCCUGGUGAAGAUGUGCCAGGCAUCUUCCAGAAGAAUUUAUUGCCUCUAACAAUGUACUGGAGCCGGGAUUCAGAGACUUCCUCUCCUGGAUCACACUGUAAUCCAAGCAUAAAAAAGCAUGAACUUCUGUCAGCUCAGAUUGUCCUCAACCAAAGGACAAAAGCCACAGACUGGGAGCCUUGCUAGAGCUGCAGCUCUGUGAAAUGGCAGUGUGUGACAGAGCCGAAACACCAAAUGCAACCAGCUGUGCUUACACUGGAGCUUGGGAUAGGCUCCUUCAAAGGCAGAGCCAGCAGAGGCUUAGGUAAGAUGUAGCAGCUGUUCUGUGAGGCCAGGAACAGUGUGAAGGGCAAUUUUGGCAGGAUCUGUUCAAAAGCCAUUUAGUUUAGUUUUCUGUCUUUGUUUUUUUUCCUUUGAGGAGUGGGCAGAGAGCCUAGGGUAGUUUUCUGCUGGUUUUGAAAGAUGAACACUGAAGCUCAAGUAGAAGACAAAGAGUGUUUUAAAAAUGGUUAGGUUUUACUGCCUGGUGAUAUUUUUCCCAAGUACAUUUACUGAAGAUUUAUGUAAAAUCUAUCUUUUGUCUACUUAAAAUAUGUCAAAUGGAUGUACAGGGCAAAAUUUAAUGCAUAUGGGUUUUCAUUAUUUUAAAUCAUUUGCAAUAUAAAUGAUUUACUGUGA
Molecule: long non-coding RNA, 1255 nt
Organism: Pogoniulus pusillus (Red-fronted tinkerbird)
Lineage: Eukaryota; Metazoa; Chordata; Aves; Piciformes; Lybiidae
Exons: 2
Source: RefSeq, a predicted model, not a curated record